RNAcentral lists this ribosomal RNA (468 nucleotides) under uncultured bacterium. RNAcentral's name for it is "partial 16S ribosomal RNA". It matches the Rfam family "Bacterial small subunit ribosomal RNA", at positions 28 to 507 of the family's 1533-position model. The record is from RNAcentral.
GACGAACGCUGGCGGCGUGCUUAACACAUGCAAGUCGAACGGAAAGGCCCUGCUUUUGUGGGGUGCUCGAGUGGCGAACGGGUGAGUAACACGUGAGUAACCUGCCCUUGACUUUGGGAUAACUUCAGGAAACUGGGGCUAAUACCGGAUAGGAGCUCCUGCUGCAUGGUGGGGGUUGGAAAGUUUCGGCGGUUGGGGAUGGACUCGCGGCUUAUCAGCUUGUUGGUGGGGUAGUGGCUUACCAAGGCUUUGACGGGUAGCCGGCCUGAGAGGGUGACCGGCGACAUUGGGACUGAGAGACGGCCCAGACUCCUACGGGAGGCAGCAGUGGGGAAUAUUGCACAACGGGCGGAAGCCUGAUGCAGCAACGCCGCGUGCGGGAUGACGGCCUUCGGGUUGUAAACCGCUUUCGCCUGUGACGAAGCGUGAGUGACGGUAAUGGGUAAAGAAGCACCGGCUAACUACGUG